This 746-nucleotide ribosomal RNA is filed under the name uncultured bacterium. RNAcentral describes it as "bacterial SSU rRNA". It matches the Rfam family "Bacterial small subunit ribosomal RNA", at positions 8 to 796 of the family's 1533-position model. The record is from RNAcentral.
AGAGUUUGAUCCUGGCUCAGGACGAACGCUGGCGGUGUGCUUCACACAUGCAAGUCGAACGAGGUAGCAAUACCUAGUGGCGGACGGGUGAGUAACGCGUGGGAAUCUGCCUUUAGAUGGGGGAUAACGGCUCGAAAGGGUCGCUAAUACCGCAUAUGCCGAGAGGUGAAAGGAGUAAUCCGUCUAAAGAUGAGCCCGCGUCCGAUUAGCUAGUUGGUGGGGUAAAGGCCUACCAAGGCGACGAUCGGUAGCUGGUCUGAGAGGAUGAUCAGCCACAAUGGGACUGAGACACGGCCCAUACUCCUACGGGAGGCAGCAGUGGGGAAUUUUACGCAAUGGGGGAAACCCUGACGUAGCGACACCGCGUGAGCGAAGAAGCCCUUUGGGGUGUAAAGCUCUGUCGGCUGGAACGAAACAAAUGACGGUACCAGCAAAGGAAGCAUCGGCUAACUACGUGCCAGCAGCCGCGGUAAGACGUAGGAUGCGAGCGUUGUCCGGAUUUAUUGGGCGUAAAGAGUUCGUAGGUGGUUUGUUAAGUCUGAUGUUAAAGAUCGGAGCUCAACUUCGGGACAGCAUUGGAUACUGGCAGACUUGAGUAUGGUAGAGGCUAGUGGAAUUCCCAGUGUAGCGGUGAAAUGCGUAGAUAUUGGGAAGAACACCGGUGGCGUAGGCGACUAGCUGGGCCAUAACUGACGCUGAGGAACGAAAGCCAGGGGAGCGAAAGGGAUUAGAUACCCUGGUAGUCC